CACGCUCAUGUAAGUGCCUAGGAAUAUGGCACUCAGCGUUGGGUGGUUGCAUCCCGACACACGAUCUUCGAGAUGAUCAUGAUCGUCAUUAUUGUCGUAAUGACUAUCAAUACGGCCCUAAGACUUUAACACCAUUGGAACAGUGGUGUAAUGGCAUUCCUGAGCAUCCAGUGUCACCCAUCUUGAUGGUGUAACAGCUAAAAGUUUGUAUUCAUUAAAGAAAAUGAUUGUAAAAUGAUACUGUUAUUUGUUAACCCAUAAAGUAUCCAAUUAAAAUAUCAAGUCACAUUGUUUUGAUGCAAAACCACAGAAAAUAUGGCUUUUUGGUUACCACAGGUAAAAUCCCCCAUUUAAAUCACCCACUGGUGUCAAGGCUGUAUUAUUCAAGGAUCCUGGGACAGCAACGUGAGUUAUAUUACCAUUCCUGUGUAUUGUAAUCUUAUUGUUUUAUGACAAUAAAAACAUAUCUUUA
Long non-coding RNA from Homarus americanus (American lobster), 472 nucleotides. RefSeq lists it as uncharacterized. NCBI's taxonomy places the organism in Eukaryota, Metazoa, Arthropoda, Malacostraca, Decapoda, Nephropidae. The transcript is spliced from 2 exons. The record is from RefSeq and is a predicted model, not a curated record.